CUCAUCAUCAGUGUCUUCUGGAUAAUGUGAUGACGUGGCAACACUUGGAAAGGAAAAAAAAAAUCCGAGCAAAGUAUCUCUCUCUCUCUAUAGUGUGAUUAGGGUUGCUUUUUGGCGCCAAAAUUCAUUCAUUUGUCUUCUUCUUUCACCGAUUUCAAAUUCUUGAGAAUUCGCCCAAUGGACGCGUGAAUGAUGAUGUGAAAUCUCUCCUUCUUCAUCUUUUUAUCUCCUUUGUGAAUUACAUAGCAGCGUUUGAUUUUGAAUCAGAAUCACAAUCCUCCGGCAGAUCGAUUUCGGUAAAUCAGUGAUGAGAAGAAGGAAUCACCGAACCAAAGCUGACGAAACCCUAAAUAAGACCGACCCACAACAAAUUGGGUUCAAUUUUACUGAUCCGUCGAGCUCUCAGGCUAAUUCAGAUUUGAAACGCAGGAGAAGGGUGAGUUUCGACGACGAUGUCGAUCAUCAUCGGAUCCCCUUAAACGAAGCUCAGGCCGGACGAUCGAUUGAUGCUGAUGCAAAGACCUCUGAGUUUGCCUUCUUUAAGAAGUUAAAGUCUGGUUUUGGUCACUCCUCUGAAUCAUCAUCUUAUGACUCUAAUAAAGCAUCAAACAAGGUGGUCAAACAAAAUCCGAGAACUUUCGAAUCCAGAGUCAAACCAGGAGAACGUGCAGCAGCAGCAACGGACUGUGAAGCUAAUGAUAGAUCCAAGAGUUGUAACUUCUCCACACCCAUUCAUAGUGCUACUAGACGUGGUAAUUCAUGUGGCUCUGCUAUGUUAUCUGGUGUCAAUUUGACUCAAAGGGAUGAUGUUAUAGAAAACUAUCCGGGGAAAUCUUCUUCAUCAUUGAGUAAAGAAAAGGACACAGUUCCAAGUGGUAGCAACCUGAGAUCUGCAAGUGGAGGAAUCAGUGAUGAGAAAGGAGACAUAUUCUUUGUGAAGAGAAAGAAACUGCAUCAGUGGAUCAAAGAUACAUGGUUUUCUGAAAUCCCUGAGAUUACUUCAAACGGGCACGAUUUAGUUUCUGUUCUCUUAACCCGGCUGUUCCCUGGUGCUGAGGAGACACAUCCCUCUAGGCUUUCCAAAGAGAGGACGGAUAGAGUCAAAAGAAGAACGUUUGUUGAUGCUCCUGGAUCAAAGUUUCUCAAGAGGUCUCAUGAAAGCUAUAGAGAAGUUGACCGCAGUCUGCAAAUGGAGGACAGAUUGAUCCCUUGGCAGGGAUGGCUGGAAAAUAACAUUACCCCGAGGCUGCAGUAUCAAACAGGUCAUGUUCAGAGUAGUUUUAUCCCAAGAGAUCCCGAAGAGAUUAGAUUUCCCAUCUUAUAUCCUAAGGAAUCAGUUUAUCGACCUGAAGAGAUUAGCUUUCCCAUCUUAUAUCCUAAGGAAUCAUUUUAUCGACCUGAAGAGAUUAGCUUUCCCAUCUUAUAUCCUAAGGAAUCAGUCUAUGGACCUCCACUGUUGAAACAGAAGGCGUGCCUGUCAUUUCCUGUUGAAGAAAAUUUGGACUCUUCUCCCAUAUCUAGCCUCCAUUUCAGAAACUACAAGCCUGUUUCAAUGAAUUACCACAGAGAAGAUAGUGGAUACAGCUCAGAGGACUUGUCACAUGAACAUAGAGACCCUUCAUCUGCAUUUCUUCUCGAGUGGAAUACUGAAACCGCAAGCACCAGAAAGACAGAUGAUUUUCCACUUAGUUAUAACACAAGACUCAUCAGAUAUCCAAAUGCAUCAUCCUCAUCAUUGAAUGAUAAUCCAUGGAGCUCUGACUAUUCUCCAUCCCAUGAUUUGGUUACAAGGGAGCUGUACCCUUUACCCCUGCUCUCUCAUGACACUUCCGGCAGUUUCUUCUUACCAACAACGAAGCAAUCCAACCAUUUUGAGCCUGAACUCGAGAGGAAUAUUAUUGAUGACGAAGAUGCGGUUGCUGCAAACCAGAAUCUCCAGACAUCUCAUUUCACAGAUAGCUCAGAUUGUUUAGCCAGAGACUACACAUACUAUCGUAAUCUUUCAAACUCUCCAGUGGAUCAUUGCCAUUUUAAAGUCCCUGGAUGUGAGAUAGCAUCCUUCCCAUUUUCCAGCGUCAGCAAUUCAAAUUUGUUGAAAGCGUCAAGUCCUACACCGAAUGAUCGUUUUAAGUCUCAUGAUUGGAUACCCUUUCGGUUUUAGUCACCUCAAGCUUGGAUUGAUUCAUAGAAUGGCUACGAGCUUAAAACAGCAACUGAGAAGAACUACUCAGAACCGACUUUGGUUGCCGUAGAAAAAAUGUGUUGGUGCGGGAAUUGGCACCCCCUAUAUACCGAUCUAAACAUGCAAGGAAACCGGUUAUCCAAAUCGAGAGUUCGAACAAUAAUGGAUUCGGGCUUCAAGCGGAGGCCCAAUAUCAUCAAGAAGCCCAGUUCCGAGGUGAGGGACCGACUUCUCACCUCAUCCAGCGGUUGACCUAAUAAGAAGAGAGAAACUUUCCUAAUCAGCUGGACUACGAUUUGGAAAAUUGAUAUAUUCUGUAAAUCUAAGAAAGUCUAUAAAUAAAGGGCGAUCCUUUCAUUGUAAAAGGAUCCAACAAUUAAUACAAA
RNA transcript from Camelina sativa (false flax), 2568 nucleotides. RefSeq lists it as uncharacterized. The record is from RefSeq and is a predicted model, not a curated record. NCBI's taxonomy places the organism in Eukaryota, Viridiplantae, Streptophyta, Magnoliopsida, Brassicales, Brassicaceae.